UACAUAUUUGUGAGUGCACGUCUGUUGUGUCGCGUAUUAUCGCCGCGCGGAGUAUCACGAAAACUUAUUUCUGUUACAUUUUCGAGUGACAAGUGAUGAAAAUAUCCAGUUUAGUGUUUUGUGUGUGUGUUUGAAUUGAAAAGUUGCCGGUUGAUUGGAGCUUGGCUGCAGAAAAACUUCAGGAAUUCGUCACCAGAACUCCAUUCGAAAAUCAUAUUUCUAAUGGCUACGAAUAAGUAGGAGGGUUGGCGUUCUCUACAAUACUACUUAAGUAAAGAUGGCAACGUCAACGAGCCUGUGGUCGCGGGGGAAGCGCUGCAGGUGAAUGGCGACCACAAUGGCGCGAGCGUGGGCGCGGGCGCUGGUCGCCGCCGCCCUGCUGGUGACCACGCGCGCCUACCUCGUCCUCGUGCCCGACUCUGCACCCCCCGGACACGUCGUCCUAGACGCAGCCGUCUAUAAACUCGGCUCAGAACGAUCCUACACCAUAGACGUCCACCGAACUGCUAACUUCGUCCAUCACGUACUACGAGUCAAUAGGACCUCUGGACUCGUCACCUUAAGAAAAAGACUACGUUGCGAUGGAAUUCUUUACCCUAAUUUAUUUACUUUCUAUGUUGACUCUACCUCAGAACGUAUCCGCGACAUAGAUUACUACAGUCUGCCGAUAAGAGUUCUGGUUACAGGCGAGGACUGUAGUAGACGUCAUAUGGAACUGUACGAUAUAGAUUUCGACAGGGUCUACGAUCAAGAUGAUGCAGCUUUGCAGUAUGAAGAUGAUCACACGAGAGAUAAACGAGAAAUAGCUAUAGCAACUAGAAGCGAGAUUAGAGAGAGUGUAGACUGGCGAUUGUUAGAAGCUGACGAAUUGGUCUCUAGUCAAUACAAUGUUCUGUCCACGGCUCAUCCGUGGUCUAACAUCAUGUUUGAAGAUUUUAAGAAUAGAAGUAGGAGCAAGAGAUCUCAUUCAGCAGUACCUUUCGAUAUGUCGAUUGAUGUGAAAGUAGCUGAAGCUAAGCAAUGGAUAUCGGAAACUUACGCGAGCUUCGCAAUUCCGACGACGGAUCGUUGGAACGGAAUUUGCUUGAAGAAGUCCCAAUACGUGAAUUCCUUAACGGCGUUUCUUCCGCGAACCGUUCAGAAGAUGUGUAAAGUCCAAUUCUUAGAUGUGAGCGAUCCGAGGUUCACUAUUGAGAAUAGCCAAGGAGACUUGGUUGCAAGUGACGACGUGUGUAUACAGGAGCCUAUGUGGAAGGUGUCUGUUCUGUUCACGUUCAAUUGCGAGAAGACAAACAUCAUAGAUUCUGAUCACCGUCUGAAGAUAGUGUACCACCACCAGGAGUUGAAUGACACAGAUAUAGCGAGGAGGGUGAAGAGGGAGCUUCGGAACCAGUCGCCGUACUUUGAACAAGCGCUGUACGUGGCGUCGGUGGCCGAGGAGCAACCACCCGGGGUCGUUGUCACUUCUGUUAGAGCUCGCGACCCAGAAAACAGCCCAGUGACCUACACGAUGUCAAGUCUUCUGGACUCGCGGUCAGCUGGGAUGUUCGCCGUAGACUCCCGGUCCGGCGUGGUCACCACACAGGCUCGCCUUGACCGCGAGAGGCUCGAUGUGCACUACUUCAGAGUCGUAGCCCAGGAUGACACCUUCCCGCCUAGAAGUGGCACUACCACGCUGCAGAUCAACGUCCUGGACUGCAACGACCACUCGCCCGUCUUCGAGAUGCAGCAGUACGAGGCAUCAGUGAGAGAAGGAGCCAGCCCUGGCACCACCAUACUUACUGUCAAAGCCACUGAUCAGGAUGUCGGGAAGAAUGCUGAGGUUGAAUAUUCAAUCGACACAGUUACAGCAGAAACAGUUAACUCCGACGGCAGCAAUGAGUCCAUAGAAGAACAGUCUGACGCGCAGGACGUGUUUAGAGUCGACGGGCGUAGUGGAGCUUUGCUUACCAGGUCACCACUGGACAGGGAGAAAGUUGCGCGGUACACUGUAAUCGUGAAGGCUACUGAUCAGGCUAGCCCGGUAUCUGAUAGACUGUCUAGCAGUGCGACAGUCCACGUCAACGUGUUGGAUGAUAACGACAACUACCCGCAAUUCAGUGAGAAAACCUACACUGUUACUGUCGAUGAAGACAUCAGCGUGGCUGAUAACCCUGUCAUAGCUAGAAUAAAAGCGACAGACGCGGACGUGGGCGCGAACGCGGCGAUCAGAUACGCCAUCAUCGGCGGCAACACGCAGAUGCAGUUUGCUAUAGACAGCCUCAGCGGCGACGUGUCCCUCGUCAAGCCGCUAGAUUACGAGUCUGUGCGCAGCUAUAGGCUCGUCAUCCGAGCACAAGACGGCGGCAGUCCAUCCCGAUCCAACACGACCCAACUGUUGGUAAACGUGAAGGAUAUCAAUGACAACGCUCCUCGCUUCUACACGUCGCUAUUCCAAGAGUCUGUCAGUGAAAAUGUUCCAGUGGGCUUCAGUAUUGUUAGGGUCCAAGCUUACGACGCGGACGAAGGAGUAAACGCAGAAUUGACCUACACAUUGUCGGACAAGGACUAUGGAGGAACCAACGACAUUCCAAUCACUGUCGACUCCAGGUCCGGAUGGGUGUACACCUCUGGCCAGUUAGACAGAGAAGUGCAGGCUAAAUAUCAGUUGCAGGUAACAGCAACAGAUGGCGGCACACCACCGCGGUCAGCGACAGCAUCUGUCGUUGUAGUCGUACAGGACAUCAAUGACAACGACCCAGUGUUUGUACCAGCACAGUAUGACGUGGAACUGGCUGAAGAUGAACCUCCUGGCACGCCCGUAGUCACUGUCACUGCUACUGACGCUGAUGAAGACAACAGGUUGCACUACGAGAUAACAGGCGGUAAUACUCGCGGCCGUUUCUCCAUCACAUCUCAGAACGGUCGAGGACUUAUCACCGUCGCCCAGCCUCUGGAUUUCAAACAGGAACGCCGCUAUGUCCUCACUGUGACCGCUACUGACAGCGGAGGAAGAUCUGACACUGCAAUGGUCCACAUUAACAUUACCGAUGCCAACAACUACGCGCCCGUGUUCGAAAACGCGCCCUAUACUGCUUCUGUUUUCGAAGAUGCGCCAGUAGGCACGACAGUUCUGGUAGUAUCAGCGACAGACAGCGACAUGGGGGUGAAUGCUCAGAUCACGUACACGUUGAGCUCCGAGAUAUCCAACGAAGCCGUGGCUCAUCACGAACAGGAGUUCAGCAUCAACCCACAAACUGGUGCUAUUACCACCAAUAAACUGCUAGAUCGAGAAUCUAUGAGCGGGUACUUAUUAACAGUGACGGCGAGAGACGGCGGCGUGCCAUCUCUCUCGGACACCACAGACGUGGAGAUAUCAGUAGUGGAUGUCAACGACAAUGAACCUGUGUUCAAACAACAGCUGUAUAGCGCUAGCAUCAUGGAAGAUGCUCUAGUUGGCACAUCAGUAAUCCAAGUUAGCGCAACAGACGCAGACGUAGGUCUUAACGGGCGGGUGCAUUAUGAACUAGACCCUAAGGACCGGGAGGAAGGUUCAUUUGUCAUCGACCCGGCGUCGGGAGUCAUCAGAACUAACAAGGCUUUGGACAGAGAGUCCGUAGCUACUUAUGACCUGAAGGCUUUGGCUAUUGACGGGGGUACACCGCCGCAAAGUUCUACUGUGAUAGUCCACAUAAAGAUUGAAGAUAUCAACGACUCGCCACCAGUGUUCGAAAGCGACUGCCUCACAUUCUACAUCCCUGAGAACAGUCCUAUCGGCACCACAGUUGGAGAAAUAUACGCUCACGACCCUGAUGAGGGCGCUAAUGCUGUUGUGCAUUAUUCUAUCAAAGGAGGUGACGAUUCCAACAGCUUUUCACUCGAAACCCGCCAAGGUUCUGACAAAGCAGAACUAGUAACCAUGGUAGACCUUGACUACGAAAGUCCGAGGAAGAAAUACGAGCUGAUCAUCAGAGCUGCUAGCCCACCGUUGUGGAAUGAUGUCAGAGUUGAGAUCUUAGUCACUGAUGUGAACGACAACGCGCCAAUGAUGAAGGAUUUCCAGAUCAUAUUCAAUAACUACAAGGACUGCUUCCCUGUUGGACCAUUUGGAAGAGUACCUGCCUAUGACGCUGAUGUUACUGACAAGCUUCAAUACCGAAUCCUGUCUGGCAACAAUGCAAAUCUAAUCCUUCUGAAUGAGACGACUGGCUCGAUGACAUUGUCGCCUCAGCUCAAUACCAAUGUCCCAAAACUGGCUACCAUGGAGAUUUCUGUGGCAGAUGGCGUAAACGAAGUAAAGGCAAUGAUGCAGCUCUCCGUUCGACUCAUCACAGAAGAUAUGCUGUUCAACUCGAUCACAGUGCGACUUAACGACAUGACUGCCGAGUCCUUCCUGUCUCCGCUACUGAGCUUCUUCAUCGACGGACUAGCCGCUAUUAUACCCUGUCCUAAGGAGAAUGUCUAUGUAUUUAGUGUACAGGACGACACGGACGUAUCGGGCAAUAUUCUCAACGUAUCGUUCUCGGCGCGACGGCCGGACGCAGAAGUUGGCGUUGCAGGCGAUACUUCUCCGUUCUACUCGCCGACGCACUUGCGUGAGCGAGUGUACUUGCAUCGGACUACGCUGGCUAGACUUGCUACUGUACAGGUUCUCCCGUUCGACGACAACAUUUGCGUACACGAGCCAUGUCUCAACUACGAGGAAUGCCUCACUGUCCUCAAGUUCGGGAACGCUUCUGGCUUCAUCAACAGUGACACAGUGCUGUUCCGGCCUAUAUACCCUGUUACUACCUUCACUUGCCAGUGUCCGCAUGGGUUUACAGGUUCGAGAGAGCACUACAUGUGCGACACCGAGGUAGAUCUGUGCUACUCCUCGCCGUGCAUCAACAACGGCACCUGUCUGCGUCGUGAGGGCGGGUACACUUGCGCUUGCGCAGCUGGAUUCACUGGAGUGAAUUGCGAAACGAUUCUAACAAAAGCAACAUGCGACAUCAACGGAGAUGGGUCUAUAUGCCGAAGCGGCUCCCAAUGCGUGGCCAGGAAGGAAGGAGGCAUCCUGUGUCAGGGAUGCACUAUUGACGCGGAGUACACCACUGCUAUGUGCGAACUGAGGGCCAGGAGCUUCCCUGUAUCUUCCUUUCUCACGUUUCCUGGCCUGAAGAGACGACAUCGGUUCCAUUUGAAGAUAAAAUUCGCAACACAAACAACAUCAGGUCUUCUUCUGUACAACGGCCGCUAUAACGAACGUCACGAUUUCGUCGCGCUAGAGGUCGUCAACUCCGGCGCAGGCAAAGACAGUGGUCCAGGGUUGAGGUUUACGUUUGGACUGGGAGGAGCCAAGACUGAAGUCACAGUCGCUGGGAAAGUCGCAGAUGGGAACUGGCAUACUGUGGAAGUGGAGUACUUUAAUAGGACCGCAACGAUGAUCCUCGACGAUUGCGACAAAUCGCUGUCUUUGGCUGGCGCAGCUGAGUUUGGUAUCAAAUACGCAUGUGCCAAUUUCAGCAGAAAAGUGUUGCCGCCUCGAUGUGAUAUACCAACUGAAACUUGCCACCGGUUCCUAGACUUAACCGGACCGCUGCAGAUCGGGGGACUGCCCAACAUCCCGAGCAGUUUCCAAGUGAAGAACAAAGACUUUGUCGGCUGCAUCUCUGAUUUCUUCAUUGACCAUAAAUUCAUCGACCUCAACAGUUACGUGGCUGACAAUGGUACGAUUGCGGGGUGUCCAGAGAAACGUUCCCAAUGCGGCUCCGCUCCGUGCUACAAUAACGCGGAGUGUCACGAUCUGUGGGACACGUACUUAUGCGAGUGUGGCGAGGGAUACACUGGCAAGGAUUGUGCUGAAUCGACGGCCCCUCCAUGGCGCUUCAGCGGCGACGGCAUGCUAUCAUUCAAUCCACUGCUUCGCCCCAUACAACUGCCCUGGCUCAACGCGCUCUCCCUGCGCACUCGACAACACGACGCCUUCCUCAUGUCCAUACAAGUUGGGCAGAAUAGUAGCAUAUUUAUAAGCCUUAAAUCCGGCCUCCUCCACUACUCAUACAAUGGCGAAUCAAUGUUCCUGCCAUCAACAACUCUUGCUGACGGAAAGUGGCAUAGGAUCGAGAUCAAGUGGCUUGGCACUGACAUAUCAGUAAACAUAGACUACGGAUUACGAACUGUGCUACUUCCUAUGUUAGCCAAUAAGGUGCAAGGACAAUAUAUUGGAAAGAUUCUGAUUGGUGGGCCUGAUAGCACCGCUGGGUUGUUGGCGUCUGAAGUUGGGUACUUCGAAGGAUGUAUUCAGGAUGUACGAGUAGGAACAGCGCAGUCGUUGUUGAACAGACCUACAGUGAGAGAAAACGUGAGAGAUGGCUGUCAGUCCAGAGCUGAUUGUAUGCUGUCAAUCUGUCCACCAUUUAGUAAAUGCGUGUCAUCCUGGGACCACACGGAGUGUGAGUGCGAGCGCGGUCGGUUCGGACCACACUGCAUCGCCGCGUGCGACUUGACGCCGUGCGGCGCGCAUGCUCAGUGCGUGACGGAAGACAACGCGCGCGGGUACCGGUGCCAGUGCGACGAUGGAUAUUUGCUUACUCCGGACGGCUGCAUAGAGGAAGGCAUAGAGGAGUGCCCGGGCGGGUGGUGGGGCGUGAGCGCGUGCGGCCCGUGCGAUUGUGACGUCAUGCACGGGUAUCAUCCGCACUGCGCGCGCAGCACCGGCCGCUGUCACUGCAAGGAAAACCACUACAAGCCUCCGGGUUCAGACGAGUGCCUCCCCUGCCAAUGCUAUGCGGCGGGAUCAAUCAACAGUUCGUGUGAAGCCACGAGCGGGCAGUGCUACUGUCGCGGCGGCGUCAUCGGCCGCGCCUGCGACUCGUGUGCCAACCUCUACGCUGAGGUCGCUCCCAAUACUGGCUGCGAAGUGGUCUACGAUGGAUGUCCUCGAUCUUAUUCACACGGCGUCUGGUGGCCUCGAACUAAGUUUGGAGUCGAAGCUGUUACCGAAUGUCCAACAGGAACAAGUGGUAAAGGAUCGCGAAUGUGCGAUGAGACGCAAGUAGUUCCCUGGCAAGAACCGGACAUGUUCAAUUGUACAACGUCUACCUUCUAUCAAUUGCGAAAACAGCUAAACAAAAUCGAAACAGGCGAGUUAGCAGUGAACACCUUUGUUGGCGUGCGUCUAGCGGAAGACCUAACGGCUGCCUGCGCGAAUACUCCGCGGUUGUAUGGAGCUGAUGUGCUUGUAGCCGAAGGUAUACUGCUUGAGCUGAUGCAGUAUGAGCUGCGACAGGCUGGUUUGAACCUUACGCAUAGCCAGGACAAGGACUAUGUUCGGAACAUAAUAAAAUCAGCCAAUACGAUACUGGACUCGCAAUACGAGAAAGAAUGGCGUCGCAUUCGCGAGCUUACGGGGCACGGCAUAGAACAUCUGCUACAGAAGUUUGACAAGUACAUUGCGAUCCUUGCUGAGAGCCAACAUGACACAUACACCAGUCCUUUCGAGAUCGUCACUAGCGACUUGGUAAUUGGCGUGGACAUCGUAACGGCAGAAUCGAUAUACGGUUUCGAACCGACCCAGCUAAAUCGCUAUAACAUAGAAUCAUACACAACCGAACGUGUGAUUCUACCCGACACAUCUUCGUUCAUACAUUCGCCGAUACAAGGACCGGGGUACUAUGGUACUGGGAAAGCUAAGAGCAAGAAGCCUUCGAGUCCUACAGUAUCCUUCCCGAAAUACAACAACUAUGUGAAGAAUAAGAAUAAAUUCGAUAAAAAUACGAGAGUGCUUCUGCCGUUGGAUCUACUUGGGAUAACUAAUAAUAAUGUACAAGAGAAUCUAGACUUGAACUACGAGUCCCGCGCAGUGUUCUCCUACCUCCAAUACUCUCGGAACACUUCACAAAUGAUGCCUCUUCGUUACGACGAGUCGGUGACGCGGCGCUGGGGCGUCAACAUCACUGUAGGAUCACCGAUACUGCAAGUUGCUCUGUUUGUACCCGAGUACGUCUGGCUGAGAGAAGCAAAAGAAACCACUGAAGAUAACUCUUUGGAGAAUAAUAUGGAAGAUAUUGAAGGUAUAACCUACACAAACAAAGGACAACACCACCAGUCUCAAGUAAACAACCACGUCAACCAACAACCCAAACACUGGCCAAACGAAGACGAGAACCACGGCCCAGUGGUCAUACAACCAGCCUUUAAAAAGCAAGAGAAAGUAUUCAACAACCUUCAGGAAAACGACUCUGCAUAUGUAGCUGAGAAAUCAGACAACCAAGAAGGGCCAAAAGUUAUGGCUUUGAUAAUGGAACCAGAAAAGAAUACCACGAAAGAUAAUGGAAAGAAGAAGUUGGUAUAUAAAAGUAUGGGAGGAAUUAGGUUGAAGAAACCAAUUAGGCUUCAGAUGUGGUUGGAUAUCGAUAGAGAGAGUUUCGGGUCGAGGACUAACCCGCAGUGUGUGCAUUGGUCUACUUUGAGAGGGUUCGGAGAAUGGUCUCGAGUCGGGUGUCACACCGAAAUAGACUACGAUUGGUCGCCAUAUUCAGACGAACCUUUACUGAUCAACUGUACCUGCAACCAUCUCUCCACCUUUGCUGUUCUCGUCGAUGAAGUUGAUAUUGAGUUCAUCCCCGAACCAUCCCUACUGGAGUCUGUAACCUCCUACACAGCGUUCAGCCUCUCGCUGCCUCUACUCCUAGCGACGUGGGCAGCCCUGUGCCUGAUGCGGGGAGGCGCCGCCACCGUCUCUAACUCCAUACACAAGCAUCUCAUAUUCUGCGUGUUCAUGGCAGAGCUGUUGUACCUUACAGCUCUGAAGGCGCGAUCUUCGCUUGUUCAGAAUGAGUUUGCCUGUAAGUUGAUAGCGAUGUCUCUCCACUACUGGUGGGUGGCGUCCCUAGGCUGGUGCGCGUGCGACGCGUGGCAGUUACGUCGUCUAGUGCGAGAGCUGCGUGACGUCAACCAUGGCGGACUGGCCGCGCAUCUAGCAGCUGCGUACGCUGCGCCGGCGGUCAUGGUCGCGUUAGCAGCUGGACAUCAUCAACAGCAGUACGGGAAUGCACUCUUCUGCUGGGUGAGCUGCCACGAGCCAGUAGUGUGGUGGGUGGUGGUGCCGGCGGCGGUGUACGCGGGCGCGGCGCUGGUGUUCCUGGCGGGAGCCACGCGCGCUGCCUUUACCGUGCGAGAUCACGUCACUGGCUUCGGCAACUUGAGAAUGCUGUUAGCAGUAAGCAUAGUCUGCUUACCCCUGCUCUGCGUGGCGUGGGCCAGUGGUCUUAUCCUGGGGAGUGAGGCAGGCGAGCGAAGGAAUGUACUCAGCUCCGUACUAGCAGGAGCCGUGGCUUUACACGCCACAGCCGCUUCGCUUGGGUACAUCGCCUUCAAUAUUCGCGUCCGGGAUAACUUGAGAAGGACAAUUCUUAGGUGCAUGGGGAAGAAAGUUCCUCUAGUCGACACGUCGGUUAUAGUUAGCAGCAGUGCACAGAAUCUAUCGCAAAUUAAUAGAUCAUCGCUAGCCUAUCACAGCAGCACGGAGCCCGGGCGACAGAUGAGGAACAUAGGGAUAUCAGCUUCAUCUACCACAUCGAGAUCUACUACCAAGACGAGCUCUAGUCCUUACAGCCGCAGCGAUGGUCAACUCCGACACACGAGCACCUCCACGUCUAACUACAACACCAGCGCCAGUGAUAUGCCGGCCUACUUGCGAGGCUUCGACUCUUCAUUGCACACCAAAAAAGAUGACGAAGGCCGCCGUCGCCGCAAGCAAGUUUCAGAAGAAAGAGGCGAGACAGCCGAAGAGGCGACAGAGGCGACGGACAGCGACAGCGAGAGCGCCCGCAGCCUCGACCUCGCCUCCAGCCACUCCUCAGACGACGAUGAGACCAGCACCAGGCGCUCCAGCCACCCGCCCUCUGCUAACCGAGACAGGGGUACAAGCAGCACCGGUGGAAGCUAUCUGCCGAACAUCGCUGAAGGAGCACCUUUGGCCAUGUCGCCGAGGUGGCCGUCGCAUAUACGUGAAGAAUCGAACCGGCCAGAAAUGGGUCGAUGGUCUCAAGAAACGGGUUCAGACACGGAAGGCCUCGCCCCGGGCAUGGCCUCGCCGUCUCCCAAUCCGCUGCCCAACCCCGACCUCACAUCAGACGUGUAUCACAUGAGCCGUCACCGACUCAAACCCUCCAUCUUGGAAAAUGUACACGAUACUUACAUGGCUAGCGUCGAUGCGUCUCGAUUGCCGAUGGAUAACAGAUACGGGGUUAUGGAUGACGAGUUAACAUACGGCGUGCUACAAACGGAAACUGACAAACAAAUACCUUACGAUCCUAACUACCCUAUUUCCCCAUCAAUGUACCGACUUCCGGGCAAUCCGUACGGCUCUAAAACCUAUCUGUCAUCGAGAACCUCAGACUACGGGUACAGCCCUACGAAAUUCCUGAACCCUGAGACCAAUAUCUACGGAUCUCGAGACUUUCGAGACACAGUAACGACAAGAGAACACGACGGAUACCCUCCAAGAGAUUUUAGAGAUUCUGGAAUUGCAACCAUGUUGAAGAACGAUUACCAGAGGAAGAUUGAGAGUCAGUACGGGGACUAUACGGAGAGGAUGUCAGAGGGGUCAGAUAAGCAUCAUCCGCACGAUAAAUAUCAUUUCCCUUAUACGGCGGAGGAGGACCACGUGAGCACGCGUGGUGUCACGCCAUCCCCGCAGGUGCUGUCUGCAGGCGCGGGCGCCGGUGAAGGACAACAACCGAUGGGGGCGCCACUUGCGAGCAUGGGGGAAACCAGCGAAUGGUGGCGGUUGUAUGAGAAACACUCAUUGUAAUCAUCUUUUGCUUUGCUAACCGGUGGUGUUCGCGUCUACCCAUCAAUCAUCAUAGGGAGGAGGAAAUCUACUACUGAAGACGACGCAGAGACGCGAGUGUAAUACUAUAGUACAAGAUUUCCAAUGAAUCUCAAUUAGUUAUCGUUUAACUUUAAUUGUAUUUGUAUAUUAUUCAGUAAUGUUUCAAGUAAUCUUAAGUUAGUCUUAUUUAUUGAAAGACUGUAUACUUACAAUCAGUGUCCACUGCCAUAGUGUAGAUUGUAACAACUUAUUUAUUUGUAAUUUUGUAUUUUUCAUCUAUACUAUGCUUUAAGUAACAAUGAUUUAGGUUUAAAACGAAGCUAUUUGAAUACUCAAUUUAAUAUUUUUGUGUGCAUUUAGAAUGUUUUGAACGGGUUUUGUGCAAAUUAUGAGUAGAUUUUCGUCUAUCUUUAGACACUAUGUUAUCUAAGAAAGAGGUUAUGAAUAAUGCGAGUAGUUUUAUUACGAAAAGACAUCCAAAGUCAGUCAUGUAAAUAGUUAUAAGGUGUAAUCUGUAGAACACAAAUUGUGAAACACAAUUAUUUUUGUAAGGAACCAAAAGUUAUGUUAGAAAAUCUAUGAAUUCAUUUUUAAUGGAUGCAAGUUUGACAACUAUACACAGAAUGUGUUAGCUCACAAAUCUUACAAAAUACAAUCGUAAGGAAAAACCUAAUUGAGAUCAAUUUAAUUAUGGAUUUCGUUUGUAUAUAAAAGGAGAGUGUUGUGUGAAUUUUGAACGUUUUAACGAAGAGUCCACCUAUUUUGUAAAUAAAUAGAUUUUUACACUCAUAGCGUUUAGGUAAUGUAAUAGAAUAAUAAGAAAAAGCUUUAUUUAGGUAUUUCCUAGUGUCAUAUUGCCAUAAAUAUUGUUUAAAAAGUUUGUAGUUCGCAGUGUGCUGUAGGUAGUUGAAAAUUAUAAAUAUGAUGAAGCUAUGUAACUUGAAGACUAACUAAAAGAGAACAUCGUUAAAAGAAGAGCUCUAGAAGUAGGUAAAUAAAUAAAAUCAAUUCUAUAAACGUAAUAUCAACCAUCACAAUAACCACCGGCUCAAUUUUAUAAAAUAAUUAAAUUGCAUAAAUUGGAAUUUUUAGUCUAUGUAAUGUUAGUUUUCAAGGAGUAGUCAACAUUCCAUUAUUUUCUGCUCAGAUUUAAUGCUUUAAGUGGUAGCAAAUAAGUUCCAAAUUGCUUUGGUAGUGUUUAUUAACUUUGUACUGCAAUUUUUGGGUCAUUUCGAUAACUUUUACAACUUUACAUUCCGUUUUGUGAUAAUACUAUUCCAUUUUUAAUCCUUUUACACCAUCACAAUUGUUUAUUAUAUUAGU
Molecule: RNA transcript, 12121 nt
Organism: Pectinophora gossypiella (pink bollworm)
Lineage: Eukaryota; Metazoa; Arthropoda; Insecta; Lepidoptera; Gelechiidae
Gene: stan
Gene name: protocadherin-like wing polarity protein stan
Exons: 57
Source: RefSeq, a predicted model, not a curated record